RNAcentral lists this ribosomal RNA (216 nucleotides) under Glomeromycotina sp. RNAcentral describes it as "partial small subunit ribosomal RNA". The stretch from base 40 to 216 matches the Rfam family "Eukaryotic small subunit ribosomal RNA", at positions 686 to 864 of the family's 1831-position model. The record is from RNAcentral. Lineage: Eukaryota; Fungi; Glomeromycota.
GGGUCAGUAGGUUGGUCGUGCUACCGGUACGUACUGGUCUCACUGAUUCCUCCUUCCUGAAGAACCGUAAUGCCAUUAAUUUGGUGUUGCGGGGAAACAGGACUGUUACUUUGAAAAAAUUAGAGUGUUUAAAGCAAGCUAACGCUUGAAUACAUUAGCAUGGAAUAAUGAAAUAGGACGAUCGAUCCUAUUUUGUUGGUUUCUAGGAUUGACGUA